Molecule: small nuclear RNA, 108 nt
Organism: Nycticebus coucang (slow loris)
Lineage: Eukaryota; Metazoa; Chordata; Mammalia; Primates; Lorisidae
Source: RefSeq, a predicted model, not a curated record
GUGCUGUGAUCACUUAGGUAGCACAUAUACUAAAAUUGGAAUGAUACAGAGAUUAGCAUGGCCCCUGCCAAGGAUGACAUGCAGAUUUGUGAGGCGUUCUAUAUUUUU